GGGGAUGUAGGUCAGUGGUAGACUGUUCGCUUCGCAUGCGAAAGGUCCCCGGUUCAAUCCCGGGCAUCUCCA
Verticillium albo-atrum is the source of this 72-nucleotide transfer RNA. It matches the Rfam family "tRNA". From Rfam's summary of the family: Transfer RNA (tRNA) molecules are approximately 80 nucleotides in length. The record is from Rfam. Lineage: Eukaryota; Fungi; Ascomycota; Sordariomycetes; Glomerellales; Plectosphaerellaceae.